GCCUGCAUGAAGUUGGAAUUGCUAGUAAUCGCGGAUCAGCAUGCCGCCGGUGAAUACGUUCCCGGGCCUUGUACACACCGCCCGUCACACCAUGGGAGCCGGUAAUACCCGAAGUCAGUAGCCUAACCGCAAGGGGGGCGCUGCCGAAGGUAGGAUUGGCGACUGGGGUGAAGUCGUAACAAGGUACC
This 188-nucleotide ribosomal RNA is filed under the name uncultured bacterium. RNAcentral describes it as "partial 16S ribosomal RNA". It matches the Rfam family "Bacterial small subunit ribosomal RNA", at positions 1314 to 1500 of the family's 1533-position model. The record is from RNAcentral.